GCACAAUGGGCGCAAGCAUGAUGCAGCAACGCCGCGUGAGGGACGAAGGCCUUCGGGUUGUAAACCUCUUUUAGCAGGGAAGAAGCGAAAGUGACGGUACCUGCAGAAAAAGCGCCGGGUAACUACGUGCCAGCAGCCGCGGUAAUACGUAGGGUGCAAGCGUUGUCCGGAAUUAUUGGGCGUAAAGAGAUCGUAGGCGGUUUGUCGCGUUUGCUGUGAAAAUUCGAGGCUCAACCUCGAACUUGCAGUGGGUACGGGCAGGCUAGAGUGCAGUAGGGGAGAUUGGAAUUCCUGGUGUAGCGGUGGAAUGCGCAGAUAUCAGGAGGAACACCAAUGGCGAAGGCAGAUCUCUGGGCUGUAACUGACGCUGAGGAGCGAAAGCGUGGGGAGCGAACAGGAUUAGAUACCCUGGUAGUCCACGCCGUAAACGGAUGGAUCUUG
RNAcentral lists this ribosomal RNA (441 nucleotides) under uncultured bacterium. RNAcentral's name for it is "bacterial SSU rRNA". It matches the Rfam family "Bacterial small subunit ribosomal RNA", at positions 366 to 819 of the family's 1533-position model. The record is from RNAcentral.